Molecule: long non-coding RNA, 1366 nt
Filed under: Toxoplasma gondii VEG
Lineage: Eukaryota; Apicomplexa; Conoidasida; Eucoccidiorida; Sarcocystidae
Source: RNAcentral
CCUUACUGUAAAAGUGAACUUCAAUUCUCGAGUAGGACCUCCUCGCCGACUGUGUGCGAAUCGCACGGACGGGAAGUGACGGCAGUUUCUUUCAGUCAGGGGGCGGGUACGCUGCGGACAGACUCUCGCAAAAUGUCUGCAGAACCGGAAGUUUCAACUCGGACAAACGACGCUUUUCGGUGCUGGUUGAAAAUGAAAAGUGGCUUCGAGGGAGCGGAUUUUUGGAGAGCGUGACUCGAGGGAGCAACUCCGACCUUCGCGAGGGUUAGCCCGCGAAACCGACGAACGUCCAUUCGCCACGACGUUCUGGCACCUGUUGUCACCGGCACAGUCUGCUGGCAGUCGCAUUGAGCACAGUUUCUUGGCGUCAACUAGAGAGAACCGAGUGUCUAGAUUGUCAGGAUCUCGGAGAGCAAGUGGCUUACAGGAAGCUCCAUCACGUUCUUUCACGAUGUGCUGCGGUCUUAUAACGAUAAUGGAUUUUGGCAUGGUCUAUUUAAAGCUACUGCUAUACAUUUCAGUCCUGUUACUGUCGAUGCUAUCUUGACGUUCUUUAAUCAUUUCCGUAUUAAAAACCCAGAGGAGGCCGCUUGGAACCCCGAUCAGAUGUAGCCCAUUCCUCUUAAUGGAGAAUUUCGUGUUGGAGGGAUCUUCUAAAGCCAGGGUCCGUGGAGCGUUGUUGCUGGCGGUGUUUCACGGCCAUGUCGCUGUUUCGAACCUGGAAAAUUCCUUGGCAGUCUAGUGCACGACGUUUCGGUUCUCCCGAGAUACAGAUGGCGCAGCACAUUUUUUUUAGGAACAACGAGUGCCGUCGAUGUGCUGUUACGGUGAGUUUUCGUCUCUAACAGCCCGUUGGCAGAUUGUGCCUGCACCUACGAAGUGAACCAGGUGGUCGCAUGUUUUCCUCGAGGACUCACUCGGGAAGGACAGUGGUCGGGCGAUGUUAGAAUGAGACUGGAAGUACGCUUGGUGGCCCGUGAUAUGGGGUGAUCUCUGUCUUUCUCCCUUUGCUGUCCUUCGUAGAUGUUUUUUACUGUGCUCCGUAGCUGUUUAAUGAAGUCCACACAAAAGCAGACGCAUAAGAGUGUUAUGAUGCGAGUUUCCUGCUCGAAUGUUUGUGAUUCCUGCGCGAAACCGGAACCGAAUGUUCCACGUUGGUGCAGAACUGCAGACUUCGAAGAUCUAUUUCGCGCUCGAAAAUCACAGAAGAGCUUCCGCGUUCAUUGGUCAAACUUGUGUUUUGAGUCCGUGCCUCAGUAUCUGAUUCAAGUGAAUAACAAACAGCGGGAAUUCAUUUCCCCUGUACGAUUUGUACCUACUGGACCACUCGGUUCACGCUGAGCUGUAGCCUACAUCGAGACUAACG